GCGGGUUUAGCUCAGUUGGGAGAGCGUCAGACUGAAGUAAAACUUCGGUGAAAUUCAAUAUCUGAAGGUCAUGUGUUCGAUCCACAUAAACCGCA
This is a non-coding RNA of Chaetomium sp. MPI-CAGE-AT-0009, 95 nucleotides long. The record is from the annotation of a GenBank genome assembly. Lineage: Eukaryota; Fungi; Ascomycota; Sordariomycetes; Sordariales; Chaetomiaceae.